AUGGAGGCAAAGAGAGUUAGGACUAUAGUGAUAGUUUCCUUGGUGCUUGGAUUGCUCAUAGGACAGUCCACAGCUUCUAAAUUCAAAGACUGCUAUGAAGUGUGCUUUGCUACAUGUUUCCCUGAGAAAAAAGACCCUAUCUAUUGUGGUGGCCAUUGCUUGAGAAAAUGCAUUUUCCAUCCUUCUUCUUUGGACACCCAAACAUACCCCAAACACUUCUGCAAGCUUGGGUGUGCUACUUCUUUAUGCAACAAUAUCAGCACCAAAGAUAAUCAUAGUAAGUGAAUAUUUAUAUAGAUUUGUGUAUAUGUGCAAGAGUGUGCUUUCAUGUUGGUUUUUUUUUUUUUUUUUUUUUUUUUGGGUCAAGUCAUGUUGGUUUAUGUGCUAAUUAUUUUUUAUUUUUUGUCAGAUGGAGGAAAAGUAGAGACUUGUGUGGAUUCUUGCUCAAGGACUUGCACUGCUACUUACAAUGCAGGAAAGCAUUAA
This 486-nucleotide long non-coding RNA is filed under the name Prunus dulcis (almond). RNAcentral's name for it is "sRNA ncRNA". The record is from RNAcentral. Lineage: Eukaryota; Viridiplantae; Streptophyta; Magnoliopsida; Rosales; Rosaceae.